GCCGACUUGCCAAGUCUAAUUUGGGAAACUUUGAAGGACGGGCUUCACUAUAUCAGUGAUUGAUUUGUUUACAUGAAAUAGAAGCCCACUCCAGCUAGUUUAAGCAAAAAAUGUAAUUCAAUAUAAGGCGUUAGAACUAUCUCACAGAUCUCAAGGGCAGGCAAGUCGCACAAGGACCUUACACUCAGGACUGGUGUUGGGGGAAUGCCCACCUUUCCGUCCACUUCUCUCAAAACACCAAUUUCCUUUCUGUCUUUCAGACACGUGUCCCAAGCAGCCCUCCUUGGCAAAUCUACAUUUCCUUACCCAACCAGGACCUGUGGCAAACAGUCUGGCCUCUCCUUGUCCUAAUUCCAAAGUUCAGGAAUCUGACUGGCCCAGCCUGGCCUCUAGAGUGGUUGCCUGUGAGUCAGGUACCUGCUUCUGCCCCAGUUAACUGGACAAGGAGGCUGGGCUGCAUAGAAGAACCAAGGACCCAGGAGACUCCCUGGGCUUGUGGGCUGAGCAGGUACCUACUGAAGAAACCUGAAGAAAACUGAAGAAACCUACUUCAGUUUGGCCGGUCCUGGGGACUAGGAGCAGGCCAGGUGGGCCACGUUUCUGCCCAGUCAUUUCCCAGUGCUGAGCUUCUUCAGGGGUAAAAUGGCUUUCUCUGGCAUUUUAGUGUCUUAGUGCCUCUAGAAACUCUGGAAGGUUCUUUUUAUUUUUUACUUUAUUACUUUUUUUUUUUUUUUUGAGACGGGGUCUUGCUCUGUGCAGCGGCGCCAUCUCGGCUCACUGCAACCUCUGCU
RNAcentral lists this long non-coding RNA (791 nucleotides) under Homo sapiens (human). RNAcentral's name for it is "long non-coding RNA NONHSAT148800.1". Lineage: Eukaryota; Metazoa; Chordata; Mammalia; Primates; Hominidae. The record is from RNAcentral.